This 3548-nucleotide long non-coding RNA is filed under the name Sus scrofa (pig). RNAcentral's name for it is "lncRNA (ENSSSCG00000057370.1)". The record is from RNAcentral. Lineage: Eukaryota; Metazoa; Chordata; Mammalia; Artiodactyla; Suidae.
CGCUCCCCAUACACUCUGUCAAUAAGAUAACAUUUAUUAUAUUUAUAGUCAACUAAAAUAAACUUACCAUUGCUAUCCCCAUUUAUCCCAUUGGAUUUGUCAGUAAACUUCUUAUUUCUCAUCUGCCCUUCUAUUUGAUUCAGGAAAUAUUUACAAAGUCCAAAGCCCUGUUGGAAAUGGAGACUUGAUUUCUACACACAAGACCUCAGGCUGAAAAUAAUGCACACAGCUAGGAGUUCCACAGACUGACAGGAGAAUUGAAGGGAUCUUUUGAGGUUGUUUGAACCAGGGGUAAAACCCAAGUUUUAUCCUUUUGGGUCUGUCUUUUCACUGAUGCAGUGUAGACUUAAGUGCCAUAGGUGAGAGAUGAGAGAGCCUGGUGAUGUCUUAUGAUGGAGGAAGGACAGACUGAGGGCCCCCCGGCACGGGGGCAAGGGGGGCAGCCUGUUCAGUGACCAGGAAGGAAGGGCACGCCACCAGGGGAGGGCUUCCGCUGGUCAAUUCCUGGAGCCUGCAAAGUUCAGGAAGAGGUUGAGAGAAAAGCAGAAAGCCAUUGGGCCCCAGGACCCAAUUCAUGAAGGUUCCCAGCAAAAGCAAAGCCUGGAGAGGUGGGGUCAAGUCAGAUCACAGCAGUUGUGAUGGUCCCUGAGUGUUGUAUUAAACUGUUGGGAUUUUAUGGGAGAAAGAAAAGGAAGCCGAGGCAGAACAGAUACGGACUCACAGACUUUGAACAAUCUAUGGUUUCCAAGUGAGACAGGGUGGGGCGUAGGGGGAGGCACUGAGGGUUCGGGAUGGAAAUGCUGUAAAAUUUGGUUGUGAUGAUUGUUGCACACGUAUAAAUGUAAUAAAAUUCACUGAAGGAUUUAAAAAAAAAGAAAAAAAGGAAGCCACUGAAGUUUUGAAGACAAGAAUCAGAGCUAAGGAAGCCGUCCCAAGGAAACAAGGCAAACCUUACAUUGGGUCAGUUUUAUAAUUACUAAGUACCUUUUCAUCUGAAAGAGCUUUUCUAACAUUCAAACUGCUAACAUAACUAGUUAAUACCUUAGAUGCUUCAACUAGUCAAAUCCCUUUGUUAAGCUGCUUAAUCAAAGAUCAAAACUUAUAGAGACUUAUGAUGCUUUAAUUUAUCUGUAACGUUCCAUCCCUGAUUUGACUUUUUUUUUUUUUUUUUUUGUCUUUUUGCCUUUUCUAGGGCCGCUCCCGUGGCACAUGGAGGUUCCCAGGCUAGGGGUCUAAUCAGAGCUCUAACCACCGGCCUACCCCACAGCCACAGCCACGCGGGAUCCAAGCCACGUCUGCAAGCUACACCACAGCUCACGGCAACGCCAGAUCCUUAACCCACUGAUUUGACUUUUAAAAAAUGUUACUGUUUUUAUAAACCAAGGCAGAAAGAAUCUCUAAUCCAGGUAUCCUGCGUAUUAUUCCCUUUUGAUCCUUUUUAAACAGCAGGCUUGAUCUUAUAAAGCAAGGACAGAGAAAUCAAUCACAAUUUGUUUACUAUUUGACAUAUUAAUCCAUAUGCUUUGUGUACACUGUAAUUAUUUUAUUGUGGUUGUUAUUGUUGUUUUAGAACCUGUGGUUCUCUCAUCAUUCAGACUCCAUCUCUGAAUGCAUGAAGUCAGGGCAGGAUUGUCACAGCAGAAACACCACUGCUGAACAAGAGAAGAGAACAGUCUUGGCUGUUGAGUUUAAAUGAAGAUUUUUCAAAGCUCAAAAACAAUGAUUUGUGAGAAAGGGGAUUUUGAGUUUCAAAAGCCUUCAUUUUUAGUAGGCUCUGGAUAUAAAACAGUACAUUUAAAGAGCUCCUAUCCGAAAAUGUAUAAAUAAAUAAAGGACUCCUGUCCACCUGUACAAGAUAAAUAUUGUCCAGGCUGAGAAGAAGGCCCAAGAGGUAGCAAUAUCUAAGAUAUUUGGUUGCAGCUUGGGUCUAAGUCUGUACAAUAAGUCCAUUUGGAACACAGGAGAGAUGUUUGUCCAAAUCGAAGUCCGUGGAGGCUUCACCAAAUUCCCCAAUAUCAGUGCAUUCCAGGUGCAAUCCUGUAAGGAAAAAAUAUAUAUAUAUAUGUCUAUAGAGUGUUUCUCCGUGCUUUCAAGACUGGAGAAGGUUUGGUAGAGAGCAAACAUAAUCACCUUUGCAGGAAGGCAGGGGAGGUGGAUCCUAGGCUUGGACCAGCACUGACAGGAUACAGAUGUUUCAGUGGGUGCAAUGUGGAGAGGUGGGAAGAUCAGCUACCCCCGGCUACCAGCACCUCCAAAACUUUAAUCCAACCCAGGAAAAAGAGAGGGGGCAAUAAACCCCUGAGUUGACAAAGGAACUCCUGACCAUGAUUAAUCUGAGCUGGCUGAAUUCUCCACAGGCAGUAUGGGAACCUGAGAUUGAAAUCAAGUUGAGGUUUAGAAAAAUAUAAUUAUGCGUACAUUGCUGUUAUUUAUUGCACAAUUUUCCCAACUCUUAAAAUAAUCAGAAGUGGAUACAGUAGGUUUCCCUGGCAACAGGGAAUGAAUUUCCCUAAGUUAGUGGCCACUCGGCAGAAACCUUUGAGAGGAUGAAAACUGCUCAGAGAGUGGCCCGAACUAGUGAACACUCACCUGGAAGUUUCCUCUCUUGUCGGUGACAUCUGUCCCCUCUCACUCAUCAUGGCAUCAUUCCCCUCUCACUGACUUCAAAGUGCUGGCUUCCAAAGACGGCAGAAACAGGGACCUUGCCACUUCUAGAGCCAGAUACUCUCAAGUCUGAAUUCACCUGUGCAAGUUGCAUGGUAUGUCAGGAUUUUUAAAUUACAGUGCCUUCCACCCCAGGGUAGUUGAUGUUAUUCUUGGGCACAGUUCACACAUUCUUUCAGAUAAUGCUGGAGCACCUGGGACCCAGAUGAUCCUAUGACGACAGGGAACUCACCGACAGGUAUGAGUUUGGGCACUAAGCAUGAAGACGUCAGAAAGUCUGUGCCUGCUUGCAUUUGCUGAACAAAAAGUUUUCCUACGCUCAAGUUAUGAUUAACUCAGAAUCAAUAUGAUGCCAUUUAUGAGGCCAAAUAGUACUUUUAGGUCUUAUUAGUAGUAUUUAGGUAGUUUUCACUUUCAGUGCAUUAAUGAAACUAUGGCCAUUUAGCUUAAUAACAAUUGAAGCACUAACAGUGUUUAAAUAAAUUUGACACAGAAUGGCAUGUUAAAGUUUUUCAUGAAUUCCUUUAAAGGAAAUUGCUUUUUAAACUAUAUUAUUAAAAUAUUACUGUUUUUCCUUUAGGCCUGUACUUUGAAACCACAAAUGCCCCUUAAAAAUGUAACCCUUUAUGGAGUUUCCAUCAUGGCUCAGUGGUUAACGAAUCUGACUAGGAACCAUGAGGUUGCGGGUUCAAUCCCUGGCCUCACUCAGUGGGUUAAGGAUCCGGCGUUGCUAUGAGCUGUGGUGUAGGUCUCAGGUCUCAACUCGGAUCUCAACUCAACUCAGGUCUCAACUCGGAUCCCGAGUUGCUGUGGCUCUGGCAAAGGCUGGCGGCUACAGCUCCGAUUAGACCCCUAGCCUGGGAAUCUCCAUAUGCCACAGGUGC